RNAcentral lists this ribosomal RNA (301 nucleotides) under uncultured bacterium. Its description in RNAcentral is "partial 16S ribosomal RNA". It matches the Rfam family "Bacterial small subunit ribosomal RNA", at positions 509 to 807 of the family's 1533-position model. The record is from RNAcentral.
CAGUCGCCGCGGUAAUACAGAGGGUGCGAGCGUUAAUCGGAUUUACUGGGCGUAAAGCGUGCGUAGGCGGCUUCUUAAGUCGGAUGUGAAAUCCCUGAGCUUAACUUAGGAAUUGCAUUCGAUACUGGGAAGCUAGAGUAUGGGAGAGGAUGGUAGAAUUCCAGGUGUAGCGGUGAAAUGCGUAGAGAUCUGGAGGUAUACCGAUGGCGAAGGCAGCCAUCUGGCCUAAUACUGACGCUGAGGUACGAAAGCAUGGGGAGCAAACAGGAUUAGAUACCCCUGUAGUCCCUGUCUCUUAUAC